CCUACGGGAGGCAGCAGUGGGGAAUAUUGGGCAAUGGGCGCAAGCCUGACCCAGCAACGCCGCGGGAAGGAAGAAGGCUUUCGGGUUGUAAACUUCUUUUCUCAGGGACGAAGCAAGUGACGGUACCUGAGGAAUAAGCCACGGCUAACUACGUGCCAGCAGCCGCGGUAAUACGUAGGUGGCAAGCGUUAUCCGGAGUUACUGGGGGGAAAGGGCGGGUAGGCGGGGACGCAAGUCAGAUGUGAAAACCACGGGCUCAACCUGUGGCCUGCAUUUGAAACUGUGUUUCUUGAGUACUGGAGAGGCAGACGGAAUUCCUAGUGUAGCGGUGAAAUGCGUAGAUAUUAGGAGGAACACCAGUGGCGAAGGCGGUCUGCUGGACAGCAACUGACGCUGAGGCGCGAAAGCGUGGGGAGCAAACAGGAUUAGAUACCCUAGUAGUC
This 443-nucleotide ribosomal RNA is filed under the name uncultured bacterium. RNAcentral describes it as "partial 16S ribosomal RNA". It matches the Rfam family "Bacterial small subunit ribosomal RNA", at positions 338 to 795 of the family's 1533-position model. The record is from RNAcentral.